GCUCCACGCCCGGACCCUGCCCUAAGGAAACUAUUCAGAGGAGCAAGAAUGCCGGUGUGCGCAGGUGCCAUUUUUACCGAGGUGGUGGUCGAGAACGCAGCGUCAGUCUUCAGCGUCUGAACAGCAUAAGGAAGCUGUGUCACGUGACAUGCUGAUCCCUAAGAAAUAACUGAACACUAGGCAAGACAGAGAAGACGUUCUUCCCAGAUGAAGGUGGCAGGGUUACAGCUGUGUACCACAUGACCUGUUUAGGCCAUGCUGGGGAGGAUCGAACUUCAAGCUAGCUGGUGCCAAGCAAGAAGCUGAAACUCUCACAAGGCUGCAUGAGCCUUUGUUGUUUCUGUUCAGCUGCCCUUUGACCUAGGCAGAUGGACAUCUCUGCAGGAAAGAUCAAGAGAGAAAGCCUGCUGCAGGAGGAGCUGCCCCCUCCCUGAUCCUGGGCCACGCAGAAGCCAUAAAGAUGGCAGGUGCUGACCUGAGGUUAAGGGAAUUCCAGAGGAAAAGUGUGAGUUCGCCUCAAUGGCGGUCCCUGCCUUCACUCCACACAGAUCAGGACUCUGUGCCUUGAGGAAUUCCAGCCAUUGGGUAUCCUCAGAAGGUGUUCUGGGUCCCAUGACCAGCAGUCACUGA
Long non-coding RNA from Alexandromys fortis (reed vole), 630 nucleotides. RefSeq lists it as uncharacterized. The transcript has 4 exons. The record is from RefSeq and is a predicted model, not a curated record. NCBI's taxonomy places the organism in Eukaryota, Metazoa, Chordata, Mammalia, Rodentia, Cricetidae.